Molecule: long non-coding RNA, 271 nt
Filed under: Olea europaea (common olive)
Lineage: Eukaryota; Viridiplantae; Streptophyta; Magnoliopsida; Lamiales; Oleaceae
Description: long non-coding RNA (OEUR_LNC010398)
Source: RNAcentral
UUAUAUCUAUAGGUAAAUUAUGAAAUGAAGCUGAUUUCUGACCUCAAGGUAAAUUAUGGAAGGAAGGUGAUUUUUGCUGCAUGAAUCAUCACAUGAGCUCAAUCCGUCAAAGUAACUUCAGUUUGAGCCAUUCCAUUCCAAUUGGACAUGAGCUCAAACCAUCAAAGUUUGUAGUAUUAUUCCAUUCUUGUGGAAAUGUAGUCCCUGAAACUUGUAGUUCUUGUUUAAUUCUAUACCAUUGUAUUUGUAUUUAGGUAACAUGGAAUACGAC